Molecule: transfer RNA, 73 nt
Organism: Geminocystis sp. NIES-3708
Lineage: Bacteria; Bacillati; Cyanobacteriota; Cyanophyceae; Chroococcales; Geminocystaceae
Rfam family: tRNA
About the family: Transfer RNA (tRNA) molecules are approximately 80 nucleotides in length. Their secondary structure includes four short double-helical elements and three loops (D, anti-codon, and T loops). Further hydrogen bonds mediate the characteristic L-shaped molecular structure. tRNAs have two regions of fundamental functional importance: the anti-codon, which is responsible for specific mRNA codon recognition, and the 3' end, to which the tRNAs corresponding amino acid is attached (by aminoacyl-tRNA synthetases). tRNAs cope with the degeneracy of the genetic code in two manners: having more than one tRNA (with a specific anti-codon) for a particular amino acid; and 'wobble' base-pairing, i.e. permitting non-standard base-pairing at the 3rd anti-codon position.
Source: Rfam
GGGUGCGUAGCUCAGGGGAUAGAGCACCAGAUUCCGGUUCUGGGUGUCGGGGGUUCGAUUCCCUCCGUACUCG